ACUAUGACCCUCAGAGAUAAUGGCUCUAAUUCUCUUCCUUCACUUCUUGUUGUAAUUGCAGCCAGUCCAACUGCAAUUAAACGAUAUUGUCAUGCUUAAUGACCUACAAAAAAUAUUAGGAGCCAUUAAUUGGCUCYGACCAGUGCUAGGACUUUCCACGGAACUGCUACAGCCCCUUUUUGAAAUGCUCAAAGGGGCACCUCCCUAAUCUCCACUCGAACUUUGACACCUGAAGCGAGAAAGGCACUCCGGUUAUGUGCCCACGCUCUGGAGGAACGCCAGAGUUGGCGACAUGAUUUCUCAUUGCCUUUUUAUUUAGCUCUGAUUGCUAACUGCUUCCAGCCUUUUUCAGUAUUAUUUCAAUGGGACCUAAGAGACAAAGAUCCAUUGCACAUUUUGGAAUGGAUUUUUCUGUCACAUACUCCACCGAAAACCUUAUGGACUCUUACAGAAAUGUAUUCUAAGCUUAUCGUUAAGGGACGGGAGAGACUGCAAACCAUGAAUGGCUGUGACCCUGAAGUUAUUUAUAUCCCAGCCACUAUAGACAACUUGAACUGGUUAAUUUCAGAAGAUUGGGGUUUUCAAGUAGCCCUUGCUGAUUUCACAGGACAACUUUCCAUUCAUUAUCCUCAACGUAAGUUAUGGGCAGAGACCGGCAGCCUAUCCCUAGUCACUCAGUGCCGCUGUCGCCCUGUCCCGGUUCCUGGUUUAACUGUCUUCACCGAUGCUUCGGGCAGAUCUAAAAGGGCUGCUAUCACGUGGCAGGACCCUGUCACGCAACAAAAAAAAAAAAAAAAAUUUUGAGUGUUGGAACUUACCCAGCAAAUGGGAAGCUGGGACUGUCACCUCUGAUUCAGUGAGGCUACAGUGAUAUUGUUGUAGGUGACUGGGCUUGAGCUUUUGCUCACAUAAUUACAGCCAGUGGUUCAAUUUCAGAAAAUCUUCCAGAUAAACCCAUUUCAGAGAUUUCCUUCUGCCAGACAGGAGGCAGAGAGCAAGACAGAGCAUUUGGGAUCUAGGACUAACCUGAGCCCCAAGUUAAAAUGCCAAUGCAAAUAUGAAGUGUUGCCUACUACUGAGCUUCCCGUUUUACUCUCUGUAAAAGAACCACCCGCUACACUCUGAGCCAGGGUCUGGGGGGACAACAGAGUCUGUGGAGAACCUCUGUUUCACUGCUUGAAACCCAGCAUCUCCUUCUGCCCCCCGCCCUUGCAUUUUUGAGGCAUCCUAUUUGUAGAGUCAUCUGCUCCUUUCCUUUAUAUGUCUAAAACCAAAUGCAAAGGUGGAGGGAAAAAUGUCAGUAUUUAUUGCCUAUGUUUUCCUUGGGCUUCCUUCUGUUAGAUGUGUUUUUUGGUUUAAAAAAGAAAUAACUAAAUAAAUGAAGAGAUUUGAGACUGAAAUAGUGAGUU
RNAcentral lists this long non-coding RNA (1409 nucleotides) under Apteryx haastii (Great spotted kiwi). RNAcentral's name for it is "lncRNA (ENSAHAG00000013242.1)". The record is from RNAcentral. Lineage: Eukaryota; Metazoa; Chordata; Aves; Apterygiformes; Apterygidae.